GAGGGUAUAACUCAGUGGUAGAGUGCAUGCUUAGCUUGUAUGAGGUCCUGGGUUCAAUCCCCAUUACCUCCU
Transfer RNA from Camelus ferus (Wild Bactrian camel), 72 nucleotides. It matches the Rfam family "tRNA". From Rfam's summary of the family: Transfer RNA (tRNA) molecules are approximately 80 nucleotides in length. Their secondary structure includes four short double-helical elements and three loops (D, anti-codon, and T loops). The record is from Rfam. Lineage: Eukaryota; Metazoa; Chordata; Mammalia; Artiodactyla; Camelidae.